Dioscorea cayenensis subsp. rotundata (Guinea yam) is the source of this 569-nucleotide long non-coding RNA. RefSeq lists it as uncharacterized. NCBI's taxonomy places the organism in Eukaryota, Viridiplantae, Streptophyta, Magnoliopsida, Dioscoreales, Dioscoreaceae. The record is from RefSeq and is a predicted model, not a curated record. The transcript is spliced from 4 exons.
GCGUGACGAUGUCGGUUUCAAUUGCAAAAAAAUGUGUUGCUUUUUGAUGUUCUCUCGUGCUUGCUCAGGAUGAUAGGAAGACCUUGCCCAUCUAUCCUUAUCGGGAAGAACUACUCCAGGCUGUUAAUGAUCGUCAGGUCCUUGUAAUUGUUGGAGAGACUGGCUCUGGAAAGACUACUCAAAUACCUCAAUACCUUCAUGAAGCUGGGUAUACAAAACGUGGGAAGGUUGGAUGCACACAACCGCGACGUGUUGCAGCCAUGAGUGUUGCUGCACGAGUGUCACAGGAGAUGGGUGUGAAACUAGGUCAUGAGGUUAGGUUGGCUAUUCUGAAAUAUAUGACAGAUGGGAUGUUGUUGCGUGAAUUCCUUGGUGAGCCUGACUUGGCCAGUUACAGGUGGAUUUCAAAUUUAGGAGACACUUGGUUAUCACAAUUGUAUUUUCCAUUUUUAUGUAUCUAACUUUUUGUUUAACAUCCUUAGUGUCGUAAUGGUGGAUGAGGCACAUGAGAGAACACUCUCAACAGACAUUUUAUUUGGUUUAGUGAAGGUAAGCUGAAUUUUUAUCAA